Molecule: non-coding RNA, 29 nt
Filed under: Homo sapiens (human)
Lineage: Eukaryota; Metazoa; Chordata; Mammalia; Primates; Hominidae
Source: RNAcentral
UUGCCAUUAGAAUACGGAUGAUGAUUAGU